GUCAGAAGAGAAACAGAAGCAGAGACAUCCAAAGUAUUUUUAUGUUGAUUCGUGGGAGUCUAAGAUGUAUGGAAGAGUCUCUGAGGGACCACGUAUCAUUUUUCAUGUAUUCCUUUCAUCAAUGAAUGCUUUGGACUAAGGAACGGGUCUCUGUGCUGAUCUGUUAAGAUCACCUUGACUCAGCACAUCUGUAGCCCAAUGGAAGAAAGAAAAUAAAGACAUUGGAGGAGGCUUUGUUGAAGAUCUCCAGUCUUGAUGCUGAUUAUCGAUCAGGUGAUUAAGGCAGAUGAAGAGGUUUUUUGAAAGCUGAAGCCUCUGAUUGUGUCUCUCCAGUGUGCCCCGAAAGGGGUUGGGAAAUCAAUACCCUCAAUCACAGCAGAGAGCAUUUCUCUGUCAGUCACACAGGCAGAAGUGAUUAGAAUUGAGUCAUAAGGCAAUGAAUAACUAGCACUGGCUUCCUGCUCCUUUUUUUCAC
Molecule: long non-coding RNA, 475 nt
Filed under: Fukomys damarensis (Damara mole-rat)
Lineage: Eukaryota; Metazoa; Chordata; Mammalia; Rodentia; Bathyergidae
Description: lncRNA (ENSFDAG00000031500.1)
Source: RNAcentral